Molecule: ribosomal RNA, 434 nt
Filed under: uncultured Ruminococcus sp.
Lineage: Bacteria; Bacillati; Bacillota; Clostridia; Eubacteriales; Oscillospiraceae
Description: partial 16S ribosomal RNA
Rfam family: Bacterial small subunit ribosomal RNA
Source: RNAcentral
ACGGAAGGCAGCAGUGGGGAAUAUUGCACAAUGGGGGAAACCCUGAUGCAGCGAUGCCGCGUGGAGGAAGAAGGUUUUCGGAUUGUAAACCUCUGUCAACAGGGACGAUAAUGACUGUACUUGUGAAGGAAGCUCCGGCUAACUACGUGCCAGCAGCCGCGGUAAUACGUAGGGAGCAAGCGUUAUCCGGAAUUACCGGGUGUAAAGGGAGUGUAGGCGGGACUGUAAGUCAGAUGUGAAAUAUGCCGGCUCAACUGGCAGACUGCAUUUGAAACUGCGGUUCUUGAGUGAAGUAGAGGUAAGCGGAAUUCCUAGUGUAGCGGUGAAAUGCGUAGAUAUUAGGAGGAACAUCAGUGGCGAAGGCGGCUUACUGGGCUUUAACUGACGCUGAGGCUCGAAAGCGUGGGGAGCAGACAGGAUUAGAUACCCUGGUA